RNAcentral lists this ribosomal RNA (247 nucleotides) under uncultured bacterium. Its description in RNAcentral is "partial 16S ribosomal RNA". It matches the Rfam family "Bacterial small subunit ribosomal RNA", at positions 57 to 305 of the family's 1533-position model. The record is from RNAcentral.
GCAAGUCGAGGGGUCUUAAGUUUUCGGACUUAAGAGACCGGCGCACGGGUGCGUAACGCGUAUGCAAUCUACCUUUUACAGAGGGAUAGCCCAGAGAAAUUUGGAUUAAUACCUCAUAGUGUAUUAGAAUGGCAUCAUUUUAAUACUAAAGUUCCAACGGUAAAAGAUGAGCAUGCGUCCUAUUAGCUAGUUGGUGUGGUAACGGCACACCAAGGCUACGAUAGGUAGGGGUCCUGAGAGGGAGAUC